CCUGAGUUCCUGACCUGUUCCUACAAACAUUUCUAAGAGUGAACAUAAUGUUUGUGGUUUAAACGGGACAGUCUGCCUCUUAUGACAGCAUCAUCCGAUAACAGCAACAGUUCACCCAACGAACGUGGAAUAUACAGAACAACAAUCUACAAUAACAGUAGCAGUUGGAGGCUCUGAGCUGAGGCAGUGAGCGGAGGCAGCAGCAAGGAAAAGGAGACAAGACAAGAAGAGUGGAGGAAGAAGAGAGCAACAGCAAAGCCAGGCAGACGAAGAGACCCUGCUCAGUCAUGCGUCCCAGGUCCAGAUUACAGGCUAAACGCGGCCUUCCCACCAUCAGGGAGGGCUAUGAGGAGCUGGUGCAGGACCUGAACCAGACCAACAGCCAGCACACCACCACACAGGACUACUUCCUUUCUAUCUGCCAUCUGGCCCGGCCCACCUUUCCUCUGCAUGAGCCCGACUGUGACAUCCUCUCCAUCGGCCCUUUGGAUUCUCCAAAGCCCUGCCUACGACUGCAACGCCUGCGUCAGCAUCUGCAGCCUCCGCAGCCCCACACCUCCACAAGCAGUGAUGAGACAGAUGAACAAGCCCAUAAAGAGAAAGAUACCACCAGAUCUGCUCCGUCAGAACCACUGCAGGCCCAGGCUGCCCCAGAGGAGGACAACGGAUGCAGAGGUGACAUCCCAGGCCCGGCAGAUCCACUGGAGUAUCUCUAUAGCCACAGAGGUGCACUAGCGCUCUCCAGCAGACGGGGCAGCAUUCCCCCGCGCCGGCCACGCAGUGACACCUUCCCAUGCUGUUCCUCGGCGCCUGAUGUCCAGCGGAAAAGCAGCUGCCCAGAGCUUUGUCUGCCUGAAACGGUCCCUGCGGUGAUGGUCCUGCAGCGGUCACCACUCAGCAGGAAGAAGCUGGAUGAAGGCAGCCUGGCUGCACGCAGUGGCAUUCCCAACAAGCUUGACGGCACCCCUGCUGGUUGGAGGGGAAAGAGCAGUCGUUGCAUGGACAAACAGACUAUAGUGUCCCACUGGAUCUCAGAGUGCCGCAGCGCAUGGAAGGAAGCCCGCAUUCGCGCAUGCAUGCUGCCCGCCAUUGCUGAGAAGUAAUCUACGGCUGCAAAAAUCUCUUUCCAGUGAGGGUGAAUAUCACGUAGAGUAACAUGGAUUAUUGUGAAAUUAUGACUUUGCACUUCAGGUUUAUAUGCAUAUACAUUUUUGAUGUAUUUUUAAACUUGUGACCCUAUCGAUGGUGCCGUGUCGAUACCACACCAUAGUGUAGAGUUACAAUGAAUGUCAAUGAUGAAUGAGUCAGUCUAGUAAUGUCCAGUCGUGAUCAAUAAAUGCAUUGAUUGUUGGAUGCCUUUAACAUUGUUUGGUGAGGUUUAAAAAUAAAAAGCAACAUUUAAAUUGCAGUUUAAUAUACAAAAAUCAGUGUAGUUUAAAGGAUACAGCAAUGCAUAAUAUUCAUAAAUAAGAAUCUCACUGCAUGUGUCCACAGCUAUAUUUGGCUGGGAAGACCCAGGUUUUAUCAAAUUUGCAUAUUAGGCAGCCAGUGAUGCAGAAUGAAUAUGCCAUGCUUCCUUGAAAUAUUGUCAAACAUCUUAUGACAUUUCCAAGAUUUUUGGGAAACGGGUUCAGCAAACAAUCUGACUAGGAUUAGGAUGCAUUUCCACCACAAAUAUGUUCAGAGAUAUUAUGUCCAACUGUUAUUUCUAUAUAAUGUCUCAAACAAUUGCUUCUUUGUUCACAUUAAUAGAUUGGUAUUUUGCAACAGAAUGACUAAGGAAACAAGCUUUUAUAAUUCACUACCGCCUUCUGACAACAAAGACAAAAUUAGUCAUCGUGUUUGUUUUCUGGCCCUUGUUUUGCAAUUUAAAAAAUAGAGUGAACUGGAUAGUCCUGUUGGAGGAUAAAUGAUUGAAUGUCCUGGUUAGGAAUCACUGUUGUUCAACAAACGACCAUACAAUAAAAAUAAAAAAAAAUCUGACCUACAUCAUCUUGAUAUUCAGAACUAUGGCAAAAGGCUAAAGUACACCUGCACUGUUAUCAUGUAAGACUGUUUGUACACACGCAGAAAAUCCUGUUUUCUCUGCUUUGAUUUGGUGUUUCAGUAUUUUAAGAUCGUCUUACUGUUAAAAGAUUAAUUAGUAUGGCUGCAUGUGAAUUUGUAAAUUUUGUAUUAUGCAUAUGAAAUUUCUUUAAAUUAUUAUAACGUAUGUAAUGAUUUCAGAGAAAAUGUAUAUUACACUAUAUGAGAACCCAUACCCGUACAACCCCCCCCCCACCACACACACACACAAUUUUUUUAAAUGAAUAAAAUGUCUGUGUUUUAUGUAUGAAUUCUGUGUGUUUUAUCCCCCGUUCCUUCAAGUAUAUUAAAAAUUACAAUGAUUCUUCUGAUAAAGGCUGUUAACCUGAUGACUUUCAGAAUCGAUUUAAAUCAAUUUUAUUGAUCCAUGGGAAAAAGCUAAUGAAUAUUAUGGUUUAGCAUAAUGUCCUAUACUGUAAUUUCAAAUUAAUUUUUUUUUUUUACAGUGAUAAGAAGCUUCGGUUUGGAUAGUAAUUUGAAAUAAUAUUUGUAUA
This is a long non-coding RNA of Cyprinus carpio carpio, 2579 nucleotides long. NCBI's taxonomy places the organism in Eukaryota, Metazoa, Chordata, Actinopteri, Cypriniformes, Cyprinidae. The record is from Ensembl.